AGCAGCCGCGGUAAUUCCAGCUCCAAUAGCGUAUAUUAAAGUUGUUGCAGUUAAAAAGCUCGUAGUUGAAUUUCGGGAUCAAUAUUUCGGUCAUGCCGUUGGUAUGCACUGUUAUCAUUGAUUUCUCACCUUCUAAAGAACCGUGAUGCCAUUAAUUUGGUGUUACGGGGAAUUAGGACUGUUACCUUGAAAAAAUUAGAGUGUUUAAAGCAGGCUCACGCUUGAAUACAUUAGCAUGGAAUAAUGAAAUAGGACAUCCGAUUCUAUUUUGUUGGUUUCUAGGAUCGAUGUAAUGAUUAAUAGGGAUAGUUGGGGGCAUUAGUAUUCAAUUGUCAGAGGUGAAAUUCUUGGAUUUAUUGAAGACUAACUACUGCGAAAGCAUUUGCCAAGGAUGUUUUCAUUAAUCAAGAACGAAAGUUAGGGGAUCGAAGACGAUCAGAUACCGUCGUAGUCUUAACCAUAAACUAUGCCGACUAGGGAUCGGAUGAUGUUAAUUUUUUAAUGACUCA
This 509-nucleotide ribosomal RNA is filed under the name Glomus sp. Glo1B. Its description in RNAcentral is "SSU rRNA". It matches the Rfam family "Eukaryotic small subunit ribosomal RNA", at positions 569 to 1078 of the family's 1831-position model. Lineage: Eukaryota; Fungi; Glomeromycota; Glomeromycetes; Glomerales; Glomeraceae. The record is from RNAcentral. RNAcentral also lists the same sequence under 1 other name.